GGGGGAUAUGGCGAAAUUGGUAGACGCUACGGACUAAAAUCCGUCGACUUUUAAAAUCGUGAGGGUUCAAGUCCCUUUAUCCCCC
This 85-nucleotide transfer RNA is filed under the name Pedicularis chinensis. RNAcentral describes it as "tRNA-Leu". It matches the Rfam family "tRNA". From Rfam's summary of the family: Transfer RNA (tRNA) molecules are approximately 80 nucleotides in length. The record is from RNAcentral. Lineage: Eukaryota; Viridiplantae; Streptophyta; Magnoliopsida; Lamiales; Orobanchaceae.